AUUGAACGCUGGCGGCAUGCCUUACACAUGCAAGUCGAACGGCAGCGGGGGAGAAGCUUGCUUUUCCUGCCGGCGAGUGGCGAACGGGUGAGUAAUACAUCGGAACGUGCCCUGUAGUGGGGGAUAACUAGUCGAAAGAUUAGCUAACACCGCAUACGACCUGAGGGUGAAAGUGGGGGACCGCAAGGCCUCAUGCUAUAGGAGCGGCCGAUGUCUGAUUAGCUAGUUGGUGGGGUAAAGGCCUACCAAGGCGACGAUCAGUAGCUGGUCUGAGAGGACGAUCAGCCACACUGGGACUGAGAGACGGCCCAGACUCCUACGGGAGGCAGCAGUGGGGAAUUUUGGACAAUGGGCGAAAGCCUGAUCCAGCAAUGCCGCGUGUGUGAAGAAGGCCUUCGGGUUGUAAAGCACUUUUGUCCGGAAAGAAAUGGCUCUGGUUAAUACCUGGGGUCGAUGACGGUACCGGAAGAAUAAGGACCGGCUAACUACGUGCCAGCCGCCGCGGUAA
RNAcentral lists this ribosomal RNA (508 nucleotides) under uncultured bacterium. Its description in RNAcentral is "partial 16S ribosomal RNA". It matches the Rfam family "Bacterial small subunit ribosomal RNA", at positions 30 to 523 of the family's 1533-position model. The record is from RNAcentral.